AGUGCAUGUCCCCACCAGUCUAGAGCCCAGUGGGUGGUCUUGAGUUACAGAUAAAAUUUUGGAAUUGCCACAUAAAUGUAAAUGUUAAGGAGCUCAAGGACACCUUCUAGUAGCAGAAUGAAAGAUGACCCAAGACCAAGCCCAGAGAGCCUACGACCAACGUAUAAGGAGAACCAACAGUUAGAGCUCAAAUGGAAGUGGAAACACCGGAGUGAUCAGAGAAGUAAGAGUUGUUUGUGAAUUACGUCUGGAAUAGGAAGAGCAGCCAAGCAAUUACUAUGGCUUCAUUGUGCACGAUGAACGAGAACAAGGAAUGCGUUAUCAGUAAUGGGUGGGUCAAAGAUAAACUUGGGCUGACCCCGAGCUGCCAGAUGUGGGAAUGGAAAUAGGUAUAUAUAAGAGGGAGGAAGAUUUGACCACAGACAGACAUAGAAGAAGGUGAUGUGAAGAUGGAGGUGGAGAUUGGAAUGAGAUGACCACAAGCCAAGGGAUGCCAGUACCCACCAGAAUCUGGAAGAGGAAAGAAGUAGAUCCUCCUCCAGAGUCUCCAGAGAGAGCAUGGCCUUGGUGACAUUUUAAUUUCAGCCCAAUGAUACUGAGUUUGGACAUCUGGCCUCUAGGACUGUGACACAAUAUAUUUCCUUUGUUUUAAGUCACUUAGUUUAUGGUAAU
Delphinapterus leucas (beluga whale) is the source of this 672-nucleotide non-coding RNA. Lineage: Eukaryota; Metazoa; Chordata; Mammalia; Artiodactyla; Monodontidae. The record is from RefSeq and is a predicted model, not a curated record.